This 326-nucleotide long non-coding RNA is filed under the name Trifolium pratense (red clover). Its description in RNAcentral is "long non-coding RNA (TPRA_LNC009080)". The record is from RNAcentral. Lineage: Eukaryota; Viridiplantae; Streptophyta; Magnoliopsida; Fabales; Fabaceae.
AUUUUGAUUCUGAUAUGCUACAAGCUUGUAUUAAUUCUGGAGUUUAGCAUUAUGUUUUGCCUGAAACCAUUAGGCAAGUAGUUUGGUUUCACAUGGAAGACUAUCAAAACCAUAAAACCAUACUUAUGGUUUCAGUUAUAACAUAAUGCUAAAUUCCACAGUUAGGAUUAUAUAGGAUUGAACUUGGAAUUGUUGUGGUAUAGUGAUGUUGUACCAAUCACACUAUGUCUAAUUCACAUUUCAAUACUACAUUUGGGCUAAAUUAUUUUUUGUUUAAAGGUAGCAUAAUUGUGGUAUCUAUAAUUGUGCUAAGCAUGUAUUGUAAC